RNAcentral lists this small RNA (1356 nucleotides) under uncultured Rubrobacteria bacterium. RNAcentral describes it as "bacterial SSU rRNA". The stretch from base 1 to 493 matches the Rfam family "Bacterial small subunit ribosomal RNA", at positions 1045 to 1533 of the family's 1533-position model. The record is from RNAcentral. Lineage: Bacteria; Bacillati; Actinomycetota; Rubrobacteria.
AUGGCUGUCGUCAGCUCGUGUCGUGAGAUGUUGGGUUAAGUCCCGCAACGAGCGCAACCCCUGUCCUAUGUUGCCAGCGGGUAAUGCCGGGGACUCAUAGGAUACUGCCGGUGACAAACCGGAGGAAGGUGGGGAUGACGUCAAGUCCGCAUGCCCCUUAUGUCUAGGGCUACAAACGUGCUACAAUGGCCGGUACAAAGGGCUGCAAUGCCGCGAGGUGGAGCGAAUCCCAAAAAGCCGGUCCCAGUUCGGAUUGGAGGCUGAAACUCGCCUCCAUGAAGUCGGAGUUGCUAGUAAUCGCGGAUCAGCAAUGCCGCGGUGAAUACGUUCCCGGGCCUUGUACACACCGCCCGUCACACCACGAAAGUCGGUAACACCCGAAGCCGGUGGGCCAACCCGCAAGGGAGGCAGCCGUCGAAGGUGGGAUCGGUGAUUGGGGGUGAAGUCGUAACAAGGUAGCCGUACCGGAAGGUGCGGCUGGAUCACCUCCUUUCUAGGGAGUACGGCAGCACUAACCGCCGUGAGCACAGGCUCCAUAUGUUCGCGAUGACGUGGCCUUCGGGCUUUCCCAUCGCGGCCGGGGUCUGUCCUCUAGAACUCUAUGUCGACCACUCGCGUUCUCGCGGACCUCCGGCCUGGCCGGCGGCGAGCGGCCUCAUUCCUGUUCAGUUUUGAAAGAUCCAGAGGUCUCCGUGCCGCUCCCCGAGCGAGGGAUAGUCCCGGUCGUGAGAACCCUGUAAGGUGCGUCUCACACCGCGCCCUCCGGAGGUCGAGCAUGGAUACGAGCAAGCUGUCGCGGAACGACUGGAUCGUCGUCGCCGGCAUGGCCCUUAUGUUUCUCGCCAUGCUGCUGGCGCGUCUGGACGCAGCGGCAGUCGUCGCUUGGCUUCUCUCGCUUCUGACCGCCUUCCUGGUGGUCGUCAAGGCGGUCCCCGGCGCCAAGCUGGAGCUGCCGUUCUCGGUGGGGGUGCUGGUGAUGGCUCUUGGAGUCGCGGCCCUGCUGGUCGUGCUCUUCAGCCCCGAUGCGGGCGCGUUCGUCGGCUUCAUUGCCGCGCUCGUGAUCGUGUUCGGCGGCUUCCUCAAGAACGCGGAGACCUCCUGAAGCUUCGUCGGUAGAGCCGGCGGGCCCGAGCCUUACGGCUCGAGCUCAAAGGUUCGCGCCGGCGACGUGCCGGCACGCCGGCGCGAACCUUGAAAACUGCAGAGUGGCAAAGAAGUUCUUUUGGUCAAGAUAAUAAGAGCCAUUGGUGGAUGCCUUGGCGCCAGGAGUCGAUGAAGGACGUGGCCGGCUGCGAUAAGCUUCGGUGAGGUGCUGAACAACCUAUGACCCGGAGAUUUCCGAAUGGGGAAACCCGG